Molecule: long non-coding RNA, 5049 nt
Organism: Peromyscus californicus insignis
Lineage: Eukaryota; Metazoa; Chordata; Mammalia; Rodentia; Cricetidae
Exons: 20
Source: RefSeq, a predicted model, not a curated record
GGAGGGGCGGGGCAGAACUCUCGCCUUGGCUGCCUGAGUGAGUGUGAGUGUGAGAGCGAGAACAGCCCGCAGGUCCCGAGGCGCUUGCAAGGGGACUCUGCCGCGGAAAGUUCCCAGUCCCCAGCCGCAGCUACUCUGGAAAACAAGAAGAGAAACCAACCCAAACCCAACCAAAACCACAAAAAUAUGUGAAAUCCUUACAGCAGAAAUGAUGGGCAUUUCUGAUAAGAGAUACUGAAUGAAGAGUAGUGCUGUCCCUGAAAUCACUUCUGGAUCAUCCCUCUCACCUGAUGCUGCCUACCUUGGAGACUGAGGGAAAUUUGGAAAAGGGAACUGAAGUCUCACAAUUUGGAAGUCUCCCUUGAAAGAAGUGUUGAGGACAGCUUUACCUUAUGCUCGCAUAGAGAAACUCAUCUAGAGUAAGAGUCUCUCAUCUCCAGGAUAAGAUCCAGGGUGAUGCCCAUCGUACUUUAUGUACACGUUGUGACACAGAAAACUGAAAGGAUGCUGGUUGGAAAGCCCAUGCCUUCCAUUUAUGCCACAGCUCACAGCUCUGGAGUUUCGAUUAAGGGCUUGGUGAAUACAUACAGCCUUGUGGAUAUACUUCUAUAGCUACUUGAACCACAAGACUCCAGAGCCGACACAUUAAACCCAGUACCUCUCCACAGAGAAGGGCCGAGUCACUGAGAAAGCCUCUAGUGUGAUAUGGCCCUUUCUCUUAAAGCAUGAAGCAGAGGAAACAUACUUCAAGACUCAGCAAAGUUCCAUUGGCAUUGUACAGAGUUUCACACACCAGGCAUGUAAAUCUCAGAUGGAACUCACAUUUAUGACAUUUGAAUUUAGUAAUAGCAAAUUUUUCUGUGGUUCAUAAGUGAAAAUUUGUAGCAACCUUGUUGUUCAGAGAGCUGUUCCCCAAAUACUGGAGCAUGAUAAUAGACACCAUGUAUGUGUUGCUACUUUUUCAUUGAGUGGCAGAUGGGAUGCAUGCACUGACCUCCACUACUUCAGUGCUGAAAUUCUAAAUCCCUCUUCUCUCUUUUCGACUGGACAUCUGGAGCUUGGCCUGGUGUUUGGCUGUGGAUCUACAUAUGCUUCCAUCAGUUACUGGAGAAAGCCUCUAUGAUGACAGCUAAGGGCAAGCCAUGUGUCCCUCUUUGUGUCCUCCUUGUUAGCUAGCUUCUCUGGAGCUAUGAGUUGUAGACUGGUUAUCAUUUGGUUAUCCGGAUGGAUCUCUGCCUUCAGAAUGCUAGGAUUAAAGAUUUAGUAUAAGAAGCUCAGAUGAGAGAGAACACCUGGAAUUUGUCUUUCUGGGAGAAGGAAGAUGAGCCUGGUUGCAUGUACUCUAUGGAUAGUGUCAUUCAUAUUCAGUCCCCUAAAAAGAUGUCUUCCUCCACAGACAACACGAAACAGUCUAGAGAAUGUAACACCACACUCCCAAGAGGACUUGACCAUUAUCCCAAUUUUCUUGAGUUCCCCUGAAGAUUUCAUCAUCCCCAGGAAGCAGAGAUAAGUCUAGAGAAUGUGACACCCACAUUCCCAAGAGGUGAGGUGGGUGGUUUUGGUCAUUCAAUGUUUGUCAUUAUUUAGAAGUGUUGGUUACAAGUCGAUAUUGGUCAUGGUCAGAAAAAAAGCGGAACAAAAGAGAUUAGAUUCAGGGGUCUCUUUCUGAAGGGAAAAACAGGGGAUAUAGUAUAGAAAUGAUGGAUAAAAGAGAAGACUUUUGGGUCUGCUUUUGAACUAAAAAACAACUACUAGUCUCAAAUAUUUUACAUUGGUAUGGAUUUUUACAUAUUGAUACAAAUUUAAUGUAAUAUUUGUUAGACUAUAUAUAUGUUUCUAAUUUUCUUUAAGGUAUUAUAACUAUGCAGGUCACUUAAAAAUGUAAAGUUCUAGUUCUUGAAAGCUAUUAUUAUAAACCAUUUAGGAUAAUUAAGUAACACAGAUUAGUAGUUAGUCAUCUAUAACAAUCCAACUUGCAAUCAUGUUAGGUAUGUUUUCAAUGUCAAUAGAGAUAUAUUUUAGAUAGGUGGUCUUCAAACACUUCAGAGAUCUACAGACUAUGGUAUUUAAAAAGUUGUAAGACUUUUCAUGACAAAGAAACACAUCUUUUCAUGGCAGCACCAAUCUACUACAGAGAAGAUGAUGGGCAUCAAAGAACCUCUAUACGGAGUUUCCUUUCUUGGGGACAAGAUAGCCACUAGGCAAGAAACUGCCAUUGUCUCAACUGCUGACAAUAUGCUGUCCAAAUUGGACAAGCAGGACACAAAAGAAAACCACUAUCAAACUUUGCCUUGAUAAGAUGGGACAGUCCUUCAAAAUUCCUGCUUCACAGAAAAUUCUAUCAGAUAUUCUGAGCAUGUACACCAAAAAGGGAUGCCCCAAUGUUACAGAGGAACCUUGUGUGACUGUCCAGGGAUACUCCUUAUGAAGACAUGAAGAACUUCACUGUGAAACCCAGUGAGUUUAACCUAUGAGAUAUGCAGUUGCACCUUACUGUUUCAAGCUGAAAGUCCUUAAUGGUGAAUGAUGGCAAACAUGAUUCACUUGGCUCACAUGCAACUUAUGUUUCCCAUGGAAAUGCUUUAAUUCAUAUAAACUUACAUUGAUUUCAUUAAUAAUCACAACAAAUUUUUUUGGGACAUAGAAUUUGUUUCACUGAAUCUACAGUACAAGUGUGGAGAUAUGAAAUUUUGAAAAAACAGAGUCUUUUUAUCCAUAAAUGUGGGUCACAUCUUCAUCAAGAUAAUCUGGUUUCUAAUAUUGUUUUUCAUUUUUCUACUAUGGAUUCUGUGCAGGACCUUGUUAACAGCUCUUAUGAGAGUGGAUACUAUUGCUUUUAUGCUGAUCUCAGCAGAAGAGCCUCCAUUGUCACAGCAUGAAGUAUGGUGUCUCCAGAAACUAUUUAAAAAAUAUCCAUUAUGGAGGUACUUGUUCCCUUUGCUCUAUGCUGUGCCCCAGCAUGUAAUUAAAACGACCAAAACACAAUCCAGACAUGCAAAAUCCAGACACGCAUCUUACCGGAAAUUCUAUCCACCUCUUUCGCUGGACUCAUGCAGCCUGUUUUGUUUAGGCUGUCGUUCAAGGCAACAUAGUCUCAGGGCAGACUUCCUGGUCUUCUGGCUCCUAUAAUCAUUCUGCCCUCUCUUCUGUGAUGUUCAUGUGCCUCAGGUACUGGAGUUUUAUUGUAGAUGGACACAUCAGCACCAGGGAUCCCAUGAUCCAUUGAUCUCUGCAUUUUGUCCAGUUAUAGUUUUCUGUGAUAGUCUCCAUUUGCGUAAAGAGAAGCUUCUUUGAUGAGGGUUAAGAGCUACAUUUCUCUGAAUGUGUAAGGAUAAUGCUUAGAAUGUAGUUAGGACUUACAUUGGUCAAGUAAAGUGUUGCACCCCCACUUCCAGAGAAACAACAAAUGUGAUGGCUCAUGGACUCCUAAAGAACACAUCACCCCUCAAUUCACUGCUGGUACCACUUCUCCAUGCUUAACCAGGCACCUACUCAACAACCAGAACCUGACUUUCCAAGAUAUCCCAAUGAAGGCCAUAUCUGCUCUAGUGUUUCAUUCAUUCACAAUUUCCUCUUCUAUACAACCAGGGCACUUAUUUGUUCCAUUCUUUCUGGCAGUUAUCACUCUUCCCAAGUCUAAGAACUCUCAUGAGACCAAUGAUAACAUUCUACUUUUUUUUUUCCAUAACAACCUUCCCUCUCAGCUCUCUGAAGGAACAGGUGACUGAGAUCUCCACACCUAAGAUUUCCACUAUGACAUUCAACUGAAAUGCUUCUUCACUCACACAUCCUUCCAUUCAUGACUCUGACUUCCAACUUCCCCAUCCCACUUUACCACAAAUUAGCAGGAAGUAGUCUCAAGAAUUUAGCACCCUUAUUCCCCUAUUUGCUAUCCAUAACUCACCUUUCUAUAAUAAUCAAAAUGGAGGAAUGUUGACAUUCUGGCCCACACCUUGGGACCCACCCUAUGUCCUGAUGUAAAUCCCCCCCCCCACCAUGCAGAUGCUGUGUCUGGGGUAUGAGUGGCUUUCCAGUGUGCCACACUACAGCCUGCCCCCUUGUCUGCAUGGUGUGUAUGCCUCAACUGCUGCAGGGCAGCUUGGGUCCACCCACCAAGGCCUGCAUGCCAUAUUAUUGCAAUGAUAAUGAAUUUUCUUCCAGCAUUUAGAUCCUCCAUAUCCCAGAGUGGUUGGUCGGUCAGGUUUCUAGUACCAGGCAUGAUUUCCCAUUGAACAGGAAUUAAGUUCAGUUAGAUGUCUGUUGAUCACCACCUACAAGUGCCACCACUGCCUCAAUAGGGAUGUAUUGUCCAACUGGACAUUGUUGUAGUUCACAGGUCCCAGCUAAUUAGGAGUAUUUAUUGAUGCCCUCCAUGGCAGCUUGAAUAAUGAUAAUAUCUGGUACAGUAGAAAGUAGACCAUAACAUGAGGCUUUCAGGCUCACUCUUGCUUGUAUCAUCUGAGACCAAUAUACUGAAUGUAUAAUCUUCAGUAAUAGGCACUUACAUUCAAUGUCUGUGAGACAACCAAGAGCAAUAGCUAUUAUCUAUACCGUUUAAGAGUCAUGUGGACUUCCUUGAAACAACAACUCAAAUGGAAAUUUCUUCUGUCUAGCAUGUUUUUUUUUAUUAUACAGUCUAUGACUUUUGUUGGGAAUAAUGUCUGCUCAAGUGGUAAUUUUGCUAUAUACAUAUAUGUAUAUAUGGAUAUAUACACUUAUACACAUUGUAUGUAAUAUUAGGCAAAUAUAAAAUAUUUCCUUGAGUUUUUAUCACAACUGUGGCCUUCUUCUUCUUCUUUCUGAUAUCUUUUCAUCCUCUCCAAUCUGAACAUUUGGCACCUUUUUCCUUCCCCUUUUCACAUCACUUGUGUAUUGAUAUUCCCCUCUCAACUUCCAGCUGUCCCCAAUCUCCCUUUAUAUUCUUCCUGUUAUAUAUUUAUACCUGAAUAUUUGGAGCAAGGAACUACAGAUGAGUGAGAACAUGUGUUGUUUAUCUUUCUCUCUGGGUUAUUUCAAUCAAUAAAAUAUUUUCUGGGUCAAUAAACUUAC